This is a long non-coding RNA of Perognathus longimembris pacificus (Pacific pocket mouse), 839 nucleotides long. RefSeq lists it as uncharacterized. The transcript is spliced from 3 exons. The record is from RefSeq and is a predicted model, not a curated record. Lineage: Eukaryota; Metazoa; Chordata; Mammalia; Rodentia; Heteromyidae.
UUCACGAUUUUGAUCUCUGAAAGACUGUGUGUAGAGGGCAGGUUUUUGUGCUUAAGUUGUGAUGAAAUAUCAACCGAUGAAACCGCUUGCUUGCCUAAGAAGCAAUCGGAAGGCUGGAGAGCAGUGUUGCAAGUGAGAGCAAGGAGAGGAAUGGGAGGCAGCUCUCUCAGAUAUGAUUGUUCCAGACUGGAUCUUAACUUCCUUCCAAAGCCCAUAAGCUAAAGGCAUUGUCCUGCUAGGUGGUGGUAGAACCUUUAGGAGGUGGGGCUUAGUGGGCGGAAGUUAUAUCACUGGGGAGGGUGUGCCCUUGAAGGGGAUAUUAGGACUCAGACAGGAGUUUCCCUCAUCUCCUACCCUCUCUUAGCUGACCUGAGGUGAGCAGCUCUUCUCCAGCACACAUUUCCUGCAUAUGUACUUAUUGCUUCACCACAAGGCCGAAAACAGUGGAGCCAUCCAACAUUGGACUGAAACUCUCCAAAACUGAGGAAGGAUGGUGAGGCAAACAUAAAGCUCAGAGCUGACAUCACGAAUCACAAUCAUGAGGAGAAGAGAGCCAAGGCACAACCCUACUCCAUUCCUCUGGGGACUUACCUUGGAACACUGGGUGGAGCCCUCGUGGGCCUGGAUGGAACUUGAGGAGGGGCUCCGAAUGAGUCGCUGCUGUUAGGAAAAGGAGGUAAGGGACCUGGACGGAAGGGGACUGGGGGAGCUCCGGAGUGGGGGCCUGGAGAGGGAAUGGCAGGAGCUGGUCCCCGGCCAGAUGUGGGCCUCGUGAGGGAUACACUUAGAGUCGGCUUCCUUUGGGUUGUGGGGCUUGGAGGAGGUGACCUGAGGAAAAA